UUAUGGUAGUUAUGGAAAAAACCUAGACCCUAAACCGUACACACAAAAUGGUGUGAAAAAAUACCUUACAUGAAAAACGAUGUACAAAAAUAACCUACAACACAAAAUGGUGUAAAAAAACAUUACUCGCAAAAGAGUGUAAAAAAAUCUUAACCUUACAUGCUAAACGGUAUAAAAAAAAAAACUAAACCAAAAACCCUAAACCCUACACACAUAACGGUGUAUAAAAAAGAAAAAACCUUUCACGCAAAAAUCGUCCAUUAAUUUAUUUGUUUUUGAAAUCUUACAAGCUUAAACCUUAAAUCGUAAACUCUACACGUGAAACAGUGUAAAAAUAAAACCUAAACCGUAAAUCGUGAAGUGUAAACCCUACACGCAAAAGGGUGUUAAAAAAGAAGCACCUUACACGCAAAACGGUGUAAAAAAACAUAAACCCUAAACCUUACACGCAUAUCGAUGUAAAAAAAGAAAGACAUUUCAUGCAAAACGGUGUAAAAAAACUAAACCCUAUGGUAAAACAGUGUAAAAAAAGAAAAAAACCCUGUACGUAAAAAUUAAAAAUAAAUAGAAAACGUUCCCGUUUUGAAUAUCUGAGACUUCGUCAAUGGCGUAGCUGGCAAAGGUCGAACGAGAUUUUUUUUCUAUGUGAAAUAACAAAAAAUCGUCCAAUUCUGACUUCAUAAGCAAAAGUUAUGACAGUUUGAAGUUUUAACGGUUCUCGUUUUCACAAAAAUUCGUAACUCUAAACCAAGACUACCGCGAUUGCUUUUGCAAUUUUUGUAUCAAAAUAUUGACCAUAAGAAGUGCACAAAAAUAAUUUCAAAACGAAGUAAAAAAAAAACAUUACACGUAAAACGAUGAAAAAAAAUAACCGAAAAUCUAAAACCCACACGUAAAACGGUGUAAAACAAAGAAAAAACCUUACACGCAAAACGGUGUAAAAAAAGAAAAAAAUGGUGUAAAAAAUAUUUUUAUCUGCAAAAUAAAAAGACGUCCAAUUCUAACUUCGUGAGGAAAAUUUAUGG
RNAcentral lists this long non-coding RNA (1025 nucleotides) under Vigna radiata. RNAcentral's name for it is "long non-coding RNA (VRAD_LNC014595)". The record is from RNAcentral. Lineage: Eukaryota; Viridiplantae; Streptophyta; Magnoliopsida; Fabales; Fabaceae.